GCUGCUAGGGGUGCUUUUUGCUGAGACUUUACCCUUAGAACCUGCUCUGGAUAAUACCGGCGAAGGGAAGUGGCA
This 75-nucleotide non-coding RNA is filed under the name uncultured Fusobacterium sp. Lineage: Bacteria; Fusobacteriati; Fusobacteriota; Fusobacteriia; Fusobacteriales; Fusobacteriaceae. The record is from RNAcentral.